GACGAACGCUGGCGGCGUGCCUAAUACAUGCAAGUCGAACGCUGAAGGAGGAGCUUGCUUCUCUGGAUGAGUUGCGAACGGGUGAGUAACGCGUAGGUAACCUGCCUGGUAGCGGGGGAUAACUAUUGGAAACGAUAGCUAAUACCGCAUAAUAGUAGAUGUUGCAUGACAUUUGCUUAAAAGGUGCAAUUGCAUCACUACCAGAUGGACCUGCGUUGUAUUAGCUAGUUGGUGAGGUAACGGCUCACCAAGGCGACGAUACAUAGCCGACCUGAGAGGGUGAUCGGCCACACUGGGACUGAGACACGGCCCAGACUCCUACGGGAGGCAGCAGUAGGGAAUCUUCGGCAAUGGACGGAAGUCUGAACGAGCAACGCCGCGUGAGUGAAGAAGGUUUUCGGAUCGUAAAGCUCUGUUGUAAGAGAAGAACGAGUGUGAGAGUGGAAAGUUCACACUGUGACGGUAUCUUACCAGAAAGGGACGGCUAACUACGUG
RNAcentral lists this ribosomal RNA (495 nucleotides) under uncultured bacterium. RNAcentral's name for it is "partial 16S ribosomal RNA". It matches the Rfam family "Bacterial small subunit ribosomal RNA", at positions 28 to 507 of the family's 1533-position model. The record is from RNAcentral.